UACGUGAUCUCCAAGCGUUAUCCGGAUUUAUUGGGCGUAAAGGGUCCGUAGGCGGUCGGGCAAGUCUCUGGUUAAAGAUCUGUGGCUCAACCAUAGGAAUGCCGGAGAUACUGCCAGACUUGAGGACGUUAGAGGCUAGCGGAACGGUCGGUGUAGGGGUGGAAUCCGUUGAUAUCGACCGGAACACCAAAAGCGAAGGCAGCUAGCUGGGACUAUCCUGACGCUGAGGGACGAAAGCGUGGGGAGCAAAAAGG
Molecule: ribosomal RNA, 254 nt
Filed under: uncultured bacterium
Lineage: Bacteria
Description: partial 16S ribosomal RNA
Rfam family: Bacterial small subunit ribosomal RNA
Source: RNAcentral